UCUGGCUGUGGCAGCCUGUGACUGAAUGAGAGAAAAGUGCCCUAGAAGCUAUUCAUUACGAAUUCACUGGAAGCUCUCAAACGAGGCUGGCAGAAGCUGAAAUUGAAGUGGUCUCUGACCUAAUUUUCUUCUGCAUGAAACAUCUGCAUCAAGGCUCUCUUUGAUGUAUUCCACUUGGCUCUGUCUACAGGAUUGUAUCACAUGGCCUCCGUGUUGCCUUCUUAUUGAAAGACAUUUUCAGCCUGAGCAAGAUGCACAUCAUGAAGUUCUUCAGAGAGCUGCGGAGCACUAGAGUUGGAGUCACUCUGUGGACACCCUUCGUCAUCAUUAAGAAUCAGACCAGAUGGCCCGUUUCUCCAUGAAGCCUUCCUUCAAUAUGCUUUCUGUGCUUCAGCCUGGUAAGCUAUCAGGAUGCCAAAGCAACUGUAAUCCCUCAAUCAAAGCACUUUGAAUUUCAUAUUCUUUGUCUCGUCCAUCAGCCUAUGAUAGCUUGAAGGCAGGCAUGGUAUCUAUUAUUAGAGUUACCUAGGCUAACCAAGGUCAUCUAAAUUUAACCAAGACUUUCCUAGUAUUGAGAUAGAAAUUUCAGCAUCUGAGAAACCCCUCGUGCCUAUCAAACUACCCAUGCAUUGUACAUGCUCAAUAAACAUGCUAUGAA
Molecule: long non-coding RNA, 658 nt
Organism: Mastomys coucha (southern multimammate mouse)
Lineage: Eukaryota; Metazoa; Chordata; Mammalia; Rodentia; Muridae
Exons: 2
Source: RefSeq, a predicted model, not a curated record